This 197-nucleotide ribosomal RNA is filed under the name Vibrio harveyi. RNAcentral describes it as "partial 16S ribosomal RNA". It matches the Rfam family "Bacterial small subunit ribosomal RNA", at positions 1 to 181 of the family's 1533-position model. The record is from RNAcentral. Lineage: Bacteria; Pseudomonadati; Pseudomonadota; Gammaproteobacteria; Vibrionales; Vibrionaceae.
AAAUUGAAGAGUUUGAUCAUGGCUCAGAUUGAACGCUGGCGGCAGGCCUAACACAUGCAAGUCGAGCGGAAACGAGUUAUCUGAACCUUCGGGGAACGAUAACGGCGUCGAGCGGCGGACGGGUGAGUAAUGCCUAGGAAAUUGCCCUGAUGUGGGGGAUAACCAUUGGAAACGAUGGCUAAUACCGCAUAACACCU